AGUGAACGCUGGCGGUAGGCCUAACACAUGCAAGUCGAACGGCAGCACAGUAAGAGCUUGCUCUUACGGGUGGCGAGUGGCGGGCGGGUGAGGAAUACAUCGGAAUCUACUUUUUCGGGGGGGAUAACGUAGGGAAACUUACGCUAAUACCGCAUACGACCUACGGGUGGAAUCAGGGGAUCUUCGGACCUUGCGCGAUUGAAUGAGCCGAUGUCGGAUUAGCUAGUUGGCGGGGUAAAGGCCCACCAAGGCGACGAUCCGUAGCUGGUCUGAGAGGAUGAUCAGCCACACUGGAACUGAGACACGGUCCAGACUCCUACGGGAGGCAGCAGUGGGGAAUAUUGGACAAAGGGCGCAAGCCUGAUCCAGCCAUACCGCGUGGGUGAAGAAGGCCUUCGGGUUGUAAAGCCCUUUUGUUGGGAAAGAAAAGCAGCAGGUUAAUACCCCGCUGUUCUGACGGUACCCAAAGAGUAAGCACCGGCUAACUUCGUG
Molecule: ribosomal RNA, 492 nt
Filed under: uncultured bacterium
Lineage: Bacteria
Description: partial 16S ribosomal RNA
Rfam family: Bacterial small subunit ribosomal RNA
Source: RNAcentral